UUGGAGGGCAAGUCUGGUGCCAGCAGCCGCGGUAAUUCCAGCUCCAACAGCGUAUAUUAAAGUUGUUGCAGUUAAAAAACUCGUAGUUGAAUUUCGGGAUUAGUACGUUGGUCGUGCCUUCGGUACGUACUGGUGUUACUGAUUCCUACCUUCUGACGAACCAUCAUGUCAUUAAUUUGGUGUGGCGGGGAAUCAGGACUGUUACUUUGAAAAAAUUAGAGUGUUUAAAGCAGGCUCGCGCUUGAAUACAUUAGCAUGGAAUAAUGAAAUAGGACGUUGAUCCUAUUUUGUUGGUUUUUAGGAUUGACGUAAUGAUUAAUAGGGAUAGUUGGGGGCAUUAGUAUUCAAUUGUCAGAGGUGAAAUUCUUGGAUUUAUUGAAGACUAACUACUGCGAAAGCAUUUGCCAAGGAUGUUUUCAUUAAUCAAGAACGAAAGUUAGGGGAUCGAAGACGAUCAGAUACCGUCGUAGUCUUAACCAUAAACUAUGCCGACUAGGGAUCGGAUGAUGUUAUUUUUAAUGACUCAUUCGGCGCCUUACGGGAAAC
RNAcentral lists this ribosomal RNA (546 nucleotides) under uncultured Glomeromycotina. RNAcentral's name for it is "SSU rRNA". It matches the Rfam family "Eukaryotic small subunit ribosomal RNA", at positions 548 to 1098 of the family's 1831-position model. Lineage: Eukaryota; Fungi; Glomeromycota. The record is from RNAcentral.